This 922-nucleotide long non-coding RNA is filed under the name Mytilus galloprovincialis (Mediterranean mussel). The record is from RNAcentral. Lineage: Eukaryota; Metazoa; Mollusca; Bivalvia; Mytilida; Mytilidae.
CUUAGAAAACUUGACCUGACCAACUUGACCUCGAAAAUACUAUUGUCCUGACCGAUAUGAAACGGCUAAAAAAUAAUUUAUUAUUGACAGGAUAGACUUCAAAUUCGAUAUCAAGGAAGAUUAAAUCAUUUAUUACAAAAAUAUAAGAAAAAAAAAAAAAAAAUAUUUAAGAGUUAGAAAACUUGACCUGACCAACUUGACCUCGAAAAUACUAUUGUCCUGACCGAUAUGAAACGGCUAAAAAAUAAUUUAUUAUUGACAGGAUAGACUUCAAAUUCGAUAUCAAGGAAGAUUAAAUCAUUUAUUACAAAAGUAUAAGGAAAAAAAGAAAAAAAAAAUAUUUUAAGAGUUAGAAAACUUGACCUGACCAACCACGUCCAGCCGUGACAAAUGUCCUGACCGAUAUAAAACUGGUAAUUUAUUUCUCAAAUUCGGUCGGAUUGACUUUAAAUUUGACACAAAACAAGAAAGUAACAUUGAGUAAAUACUCAUUUGGAAAAAAUUAGGGGGAAAAUACUUAAAGGGUAAAAAAACUUGACCUGACGAACAUCGACUUUGUUGUGAGUAAAUGUCCUGACCGAUAAAAAGUGCUAAUACUUGCAACAUUGUUGGUAUGAUUGAGUUCUUAAUUGAAACCAAGUCAAAUUGUAACGUUUUUAUUUUUGUACUUGCUGCAAUAAAUUGGAAACAAAAUAUUUCAAAGGAAAUAAAUACUUGACUUAACCCCUUAAACUUAAUACACAAACAACAACAUUUUUAGUUCUUACCUUAUAUUGUAAUUGAAUUUAUAUAUUUCCUAUCCAUAAAAUACAACAUCCAAAGCAAAUAAAUUUUGUUAAAUGAAAAGAUAGGGGAAAUAUGAGUUGCUGAGUGACUGUGAGUAUUGUUUACCCCUUUGUAACACAAAUCUACUUAAUUUGAU